This 897-nucleotide ribosomal RNA is filed under the name uncultured Bacteroidota bacterium. RNAcentral's name for it is "bacterial SSU rRNA". It matches the Rfam family "Bacterial small subunit ribosomal RNA", at positions 1 to 889 of the family's 1533-position model. Lineage: Bacteria; Pseudomonadati; Bacteroidota. The record is from RNAcentral.
GGAUCCAGACUCUGAUUCUGGCUCAGGAUGAACGCUAGCUACAGGCUUAACACAUGCAAGUCGAGGGGAAACGACAUCGAAAGCUUGCUUUUGAUGGGCGUCGACCGGCGCACGGGUGAGUAACGCGUAUCCAACCUGCCCACCACUUGGGGAUAACCUUGCGAAAGUAAGACUAAUACCCAAUGAUAUCUCUAGAAGACAUCUGAAGGAGAUUAAAGAUUUAUCGGUGAUGGAUGGGGAUGCGUCUGAUUAGCUUGUUGGCGGGGUAACGGCCCACCAAGGCGACGAUCAGUAGGGGUUCUGAGAGGAAGGUCCCCCACAUUGGAACUGAGACACGGUCCAAACUCCUACGGGAGGCAGCAGUGAGGAAUAUUGGUCAAUGGGCGAGAGUCUGAACCAGCCAAGUAGCGUGCAGGAUGACGGCCCUAUGGGUUGUAAACUGCUUUUAUAAGGGAAUAAAGUGAGUCUCGUGAGACUUUUUGCAUGUACCUUAUGAAUAAGGACCGGCUAAUUCCGUGCCAGCAGCCGCGGUAAUACGGAAGGUCCGGGCGUUAUCCGGAUUUAUUGGGUUUAAAGGGAGCGUAGGCCGGAGAUUAAGCGUGUUGUGAAAUGUAGACGCUCAACGUCUGCACUGCAGCGCGAACUGGUUUCCUUGAGUACGCACAAAGUGGGCGGAAUUCGUGGUGUAGCGGUGAAAUGCUUAGAUAUCACGAAGAACUCCGAUUGCGAAGGCAGCUCACUGGAGCGCAACUGACGCUGAAGCUCGAAAGUGCGGGUAUCGAACAGGAUUAGAUACCCUGGUAGUCCGCACGGUAAACGAUGGAUGCCCGCUGUUGGUCUGAAUAGGUCAGCGGCCAAGCGAAAGCAUUAAGCAUCCCACCUGGGGAGUACGCCGGC